UGCAUAUUAGUUUAUGAUGAACUUAAAAUUUUGAUCUUUAAGGAUAUGGUUUAAUUCCAUAAUUUGCAA
This 69-nucleotide transfer RNA is filed under the name Chelurotropella siamensis. RNAcentral's name for it is "tRNA-Gln". Lineage: Eukaryota; Metazoa; Arthropoda; Insecta; Hemiptera; Urostylididae. The record is from RNAcentral.